GCCAGCGUAGCUCAGUUGGUAGAGCAUCGGUUUCGUAAACCGGAGGUCAAGGGUUCGAGUCCCUUCGCUGGCUCCA
Molecule: transfer RNA, 76 nt
Filed under: Acidobacteriota bacterium
Lineage: Bacteria; Pseudomonadati; Acidobacteriota
Also listed under: 4 other names
Description: tRNA-Thr
Rfam family: tRNA
About the family: Transfer RNA (tRNA) molecules are approximately 80 nucleotides in length. Their secondary structure includes four short double-helical elements and three loops (D, anti-codon, and T loops).
Source: RNAcentral